Molecule: ribosomal RNA, 253 nt
Filed under: uncultured bacterium
Lineage: Bacteria
Description: partial 16S ribosomal RNA
Rfam family: Bacterial small subunit ribosomal RNA
Source: RNAcentral
UACAGAGGGGGCAAGCGUUGCUCGGAAUUACUGGGCGUAAAGGGCGCGUAGGCGGUCUGGCAAGUCGGUCGUGAAAUCCUUCGGCUCAACCGAAGAACGUCGAUCGAAACUGCCGUUCUUGAGGAUUGCAGAGGAGACUGGAAUUCCCGGUGUAGCGGUGAAAUGUGUAGAGAUCGGGAGGAACACCGGUGGCGAAGGCGGGUCUCUGGGCAAUUCCUGACGCUGAGGCGCGAAAGCUAGGGGAGCGAACGGG